ACCGACUGCUAUUUGGGUGAGAAUGAGCCAUGCAAGUCGAAUGGAAUACCAAAAUAUUCCAUGGCAAACUGCUCAAUAACACGUGAUCAACUUACCCUAUGGAAAACAAUAACCUCUGGAAACGGAGGAUAAUGGUUUAUAGUUGAAAAGGCUUGGAAAAGUUUUUCAAUAAAAGGGAAUAAUAAAAAUGGUUAUUAUUUUGCCAUAGGAUAGGAUUGCGGUCGAUUAUGGCUGUUGGUGAGGUAAUGGCUCACCAAACCAAUAAUCGAUAGGGGCCGUGAGAGCGGGAGCCCCGAGAUGGGUACUGAGACAACGACCCAGGCCUUACGAGGUGCAGCAGGCGCGAAAACUCCGCAAUACACGAAAGUGUGACGGGGUUACCCAAAGUGCUUAAUUUUUAAGCUGUGGUAAGUGUGUAAUGUACCUUACUAGAAAGGAGAGGGCAAGGCUGGUGCCAGCCGCCGCGGUAAAACCAGCUCUUCAAGUGGUCGGGAUAUUAUUGGGCUUAAAGUGUCCGUAGCUUGUAUAAUAAGUUCCUGGUGAAAUCUAAUAGCUUAACUAUUAGUAUGCUAGGAAUACUGUUAUACUAGAGGGCGGGAGAGGUUUGAGGUACUUCAGGGGUAGGGGUGAAAUCCUAUAAUCCUUGAAGGACCACCAGUGGCGAAGGCGUCAGACUGGAACGCGCCUGACAGUGAGGGACGAAAGCCAGGGGAGCGAACCGGAUUAGAUACCCGGGUAGUCCUGGCCGUAAACGAUGCACACUAGGUGUUGGUAUGGCUAUGAGCCAUAUCAGUGCCGAAGGGAAACCAUUAAGUGUGCCGCCUGGGAAGUACGGUCGCAAGGCUAAAACUUAAAGGAAUUGGCGGGGGAGCACCACAAGGGGUGAAGCCUGCGGUUCA
This 899-nucleotide ribosomal RNA is filed under the name uncultured archaeon. Its description in RNAcentral is "bacterial SSU rRNA". It matches the Rfam family "Archaeal small subunit ribosomal RNA", at positions 21 to 904 of the family's 1478-position model. The record is from RNAcentral.